AUAUCCUAGUCAUAUUUAUAGCACAAACAAAAAUUUGCAAAUUUUUUUGCAAACUGAAAUAUAUUUUCAUUAUUUAAAAAAAGCCAAAGAAUUAACAUGCAGAUGAAAUACAGAAAUAAAAGAAAAUUAUAACUACCAAAGGAAAAGACUGACAAUUUUUUUAAGCUUUUGCUCAACACAGAUCAUUCCUAUCUCAGUUUCUAACAUUCAGCACUGGUUGUGAUUUUUGUAAUUGUUUCACUGCUACAUUUGUUUAAUCCUAUUACGAACAGAAAGGGAACAGUUACUCUUUUUCUAUUACAUUAUUCUCAAUCAACUAAAGAUUCAAAGGAAAUUCUAAAAUUAAUUUAAAGGAAAUUCUAAAAUAUUCUAUUUAUGAUAUAUGUUCGCAAGUUAUCAUUUAUCCUUUGUAAACUCUCGAAUGGAUCAAGUGUUUGAUAUUAAAUGUACAAGUACCUGAGUCCUCCAACACUUGCGUUCUAUUACAAAAAAAGAUGGAAACCACAAUAUCCCAGAAAUAGUUAUAUCACUUGAAGGAUAAAGUUCGUAUUUAUAAUGAUGAAAAUUUCCCCUUUGUACAAAUAUGGCAUUUCAGAAUAAUGCUUGUGAUUCAGUUUACAUUGAAAAUCUAGUUAAUUGCUUUUUUUCCCUAAACUUCAGCCAUUUUCAAUUCUACUAGUCAAAAACAAAGCUGUUAAGUGUGCCAUAAACAUUCUUAAAUAAAUAAAUAAACCAUUAACUGCUGAUGUUACUGGAAACAAAUUUUCCAACAUACUUACAUAGCUGUUAAAUUAACCAAAUACAAAUCAGCUUAAAUAAGGCUGUUACUUUACAAUUUCUCCACUUUGUAAAAACACUAAAUAGCUUUUAAAUUUGAGAAUAGUUAUCAGUUUGAUAAGAAUACAAAUUCAGUACCUAUUAACACUGGCAGAUUAUAUGCAUUACAUGAAUUUGGACUUCAUUGCAUAUUACAGUAUGUAAUCCUAAAUUUAAACAUAGCAUUUCCUCUCUAAGAUUCCGAUGGUGCAUUUUCACAAAAACACAGAAGAGCUGAAAGAAACUUUAGAGACCAUCUAGUCUAACCUCCCCCCUCAUUUUUCAUGAGGAAAAGAGGCCUAUUGAGGUGAAGUUAAAAUAGUGAUGGUUCGUUCUAUUUACAAAAUAGAAUACAGCUUCACCCAAUGUAAACAAUAAGAUACUACAAAUUAAGUUUACUUCAAUGUUAAAUUUCUUAUUUUUUUGCAACUUAAUUUAGAUUAAAUAUUUUUAAGGAAAAACAGUAACUAAGUCUCUACCAAGUACAUACUAGGUUCAAUAUAAACUACUAUCACAGCAAACUAUUUCCUUAAAUCAAAAAUAAACUACAUAAAGUACACAUCUCCUAAGUUCAUUUUGAUGAUAUGGGUUAAAAGAAUAAAGCAACCUUAAAAAAAUUAAGAUACUUUAAAAAAAUCCAAGGCGACAACUUCUUCAGUAUUGAAAAGAUGUUUCAAUGAAAGUAGACUUACUGUGUAAAUAGGAACAUUUUCAUUGACACUUUUGCAGGUCAGGCCAUUUUACAUAAUGGUAGGAAAAAAAUGUUUAAUAACACCAGAAAAGGCAAACCAGUUUCCUUCAUGAACCAAAUGGUGAGUAAAAGCACAAAUAUAACCAAAUACUCAUUUUUUUUUCUGUUCACUAUUCUUUAUAAAUGGCUUUUAGUGGAGAAAGAUUUUAUUACCAAUAUACAUUCACAAGUGCAAUAUCUAAAACGCAUAAAGUGCUCAAAAAAAAAUACAAAGCGUGUGGUCAAUUCUUUAUAGCUAAAAACAAAACAAAACAAAAAAAAACCACACAAAAAAAAUCCUCAAAAAACAAGCUUUCUCCCAAGAAGAAUUCAGUGGUUAUGAGUAUUUCAGAACUACUACCUAGUUUUAUCUUUAAGACAAGAAAACAAAAAGGGACAAGGAACCAUUCUUUUAACCCAAUAAUACCAUGGAUAAAGGAAAAAAAAAAUUGUCAUUUUCUUGGUCCAUUAUAUUGCUUAUAGAGAUGGAAUAAGCAUUCCAAACUAUUGGUACUUCCAACACAAGUUAUUAAACUUGCAUUAGUAAAGGCAAAAAGUUCAUGAAAUCUUUAUAAAUUCUUGCUAUUUGGCAAGUUAAGUUAUGCUGUUCAAGGAUUUUUAAAUGUUCUACUAAGGGCAGUGAAGUUUUUAUUGCCUAAGCUAAAAGUAAACAAGUCUCUAGUGCUCAAAAAUCAAUAGGGUCAGGUCUAUUGUCUAUUACUACUUUGCCACAAGUAAAUUGAUUAGUGCUGAAAAGAAACCUUGCUCUUCUUCCCUCCUUCCCUCCCCCAGGGAAAAAAGGCUAACCUUUCCCCUCUCAAACCACCUUUUGAGUAAUUCUGAGAUUGCUAUGCUCCUUCAAUUUCAGAAUACAUCCCAUUUAUUUUCUUAGGAAUAAAAAUUAAGUAUAAGACAGUUAUUUCAACAAGGUAAUAGAGACAAAUAAAUCAAUUAAGGACUCUCAAUAGGCUAUUUCUUGGGUGCUGAAAGUUAGCUUCUGAUAAUACCGAAGUUGAAAGAAUUUAAGGCACUGAAAAUUGCCAAAUCGACCUAGUGAAAAAAUUGUGAUUUUUGGAAAUUGUUGACAAAGUGUGCCCUAACAGGUAUUUUGCUAUUUAAAAAUCUAUCCGUAACAGAACACUGGAUACUAAGAGUGAUAUAGGAUAUUUACUGGGAACAUGCAGAAGUACCACAGGAUAAAAAAAGAUGGAGGUGGGGUGGGAAGAGAUUUCCUGAUAUUUCCUGACAGGAUUGCAUAUAUUCUUUUCCCUCAAGUGGGGUUCUCUUUGGAUAAUCCAUAUUCAGAAAACUUCCAUGUUCAUUUUAAGUUAUUUCUCAAGCAUGCAGUUUUGAGGCCUUCAGUGACUAAUCUUAAGAGGGAAUUUAAAGAUUAUUUUAAAGUAUAAUCUUAAUAGCUUUUGUAGCUAAUGAAUUUUCCUCAUGCUCCUGGGAAAAAAAAAAAAAAAAAAAAAAAAGGAUAAAUACUGAAAAAACAGGGAUAUGGUCCAGACUUUGUGGUCACUGCAUCCUUCUUUGGUUUGGUGAUUUCACCACUAAGACGACCAAAAUUCAGGAUGUACCAAUUCCAACACAUUAAGACAUGGA
RNAcentral lists this long non-coding RNA (3151 nucleotides) under Sarcophilus harrisii (Tasmanian devil). RNAcentral's name for it is "lncRNA (ENSSHAG00000029378.1)". The record is from RNAcentral. Lineage: Eukaryota; Metazoa; Chordata; Mammalia; Dasyuromorphia; Dasyuridae.